RNAcentral lists this non-coding RNA (151 nucleotides) under Heterosigma akashiwo. The record is from RNAcentral. Lineage: Eukaryota; Raphidophyceae; Chattonellales; Chattonellaceae.
GGGAAAUAAAAAAUAAGAAAGAAAGGGUGGAAAAUGAAGGAUAUUUUCAUAAAAGAAAUAGUGCUGUCCGCCUCUGUGCCGUAUUUACAUCAUUAUUUACUUUUAUUGUGAAGAAUGGUAGUUUUUCUUGCUGCUAACUUUUGUCUUCAUA